RNAcentral lists this ribosomal RNA (514 nucleotides) under uncultured bacterium. RNAcentral's name for it is "partial 16S ribosomal RNA". It matches the Rfam family "Bacterial small subunit ribosomal RNA", at positions 28 to 523 of the family's 1533-position model. The record is from RNAcentral.
GAUGAACGCUGGCGGCGUGCCUAAUACAUGCAAGUCGAACGCGAGAGGAGGGAGCUUGCUCCCUCUGAUCGAGUGGCGGACGGGUGAGUAACACGUAGGCAACCUGCCCAUCAGUCCGGGAUAACCGCGGGAAACCGUGGCUAAUACCGGAUGAUCCUCUCCACCGCGGGGUGGGGAGUUGAAAGACGGUUUCGGCUGUCGCUGAUGGAUGGGCCUGCGGCGCAUUAGCUGGUUGGCGGGGUAACGGCCCACCAAGGCAACGAUGCGUAGCCGACCUGAGAGGGUGAUCGGCCACACUGGGACUGAGACACGGCCCAGACUCCUACGGGAGGCAGCAGUAGGGAAUCUUCCGCAAUGGACGCAAGUCUGACGGAGCAACGCCGCGUGAGUGAAGAAGGGUUUCGGCUCGUAAAACUCUGUUGUUAAGGAAGAACGACAGGUAGAGUAACUGCUACCUGUGUGACGGUACUUAACCAGAAAGCCACGGCUAAUUACGUGCCAGCCGCCGCCGUAA